UAACAAGGAUUCCCCUAGUAACUGCGAGUGAAGCGGGAUGAGCUCAAAUUUAAAAUCUGUCAGCUUUCGCUGUCCGAGUUGUAAUCUAGAGAAGCAUUUUCUGUGAUGGACCGUGUACAAGUUUCUUGGAAUAGAACUUCAUAGAGGGUGAGAAUCCCGUCCAUGACACGGACUACCGUUACUUUGUGAUAUGCUCUCAAAGAGUCGAGUUGUUUGGGAAUGCAGCUCAAAAUGGGUGGUAAGUUCCAUCUAAAGCUAAAUAUUGGCGAGAGACCGAUAGCGAACAAGUACCGUGAGGGAAAGAUGAAAAGCACUUUGGAAAGAGAGUUAAACAGUACGUGAAAUUGUUGAAAGGGAAACGCUUGAAGUCAGUCGCGUUGCUUAGGACUCAGCCUUGCUUUUGCUUGGUGUACUUCCUAUGUAACGGGUCAACAUCAAUUUUGGUUGGUGGAUAAAGAUUGAAGGAAUGUGGCAUCUUAGGAUGUGUUAUAGCCUUCUUUCGUAUACACUGGCUGGGAUUGAGGUCUGCAGCACGCCUUUAUGGCCGGGGUUCGCCCACGUAUCGUGCUUAGGAUGUUGGCAUAAUGGCUUUAAGCGACCCGUCUUGAAACACGGACCAAGGAGUCUAACAUGCUUGCGAGUAUUAGAGUGGAAAACUCUUGUGCGUAAUGAAAGUGAAAGUUGGGACUCUUCGCGGAGGCACCGACGCCCGGCUCUGAAGUUUACUGACGAUGCUGCGGUAGAGCACGUAUGUUGGGACCCGAAAGAUGGUGAACUAUGCCUGAAUAGGGUGAAGCCAGGGGAAACUCUGGUGGAGGCUCGUAGCGAUUCUGACGUGCAAAUCGAUCGUCAAAUUUGGG
RNAcentral lists this ribosomal RNA (860 nucleotides) under Xylodon sambuci. RNAcentral describes it as "partial large subunit ribosomal RNA". It matches the Rfam family "Eukaryotic large subunit ribosomal RNA", at positions 66 to 915 of the family's 3401-position model. Lineage: Eukaryota; Fungi; Basidiomycota; Agaricomycetes; Hymenochaetales; Schizoporaceae. The record is from RNAcentral.